This is a long non-coding RNA of Bombus pascuorum, 2525 nucleotides long. RefSeq lists it as uncharacterized. The record is from RefSeq and is a predicted model, not a curated record. The transcript is spliced from 2 exons. NCBI's taxonomy places the organism in Eukaryota, Metazoa, Arthropoda, Insecta, Hymenoptera, Apidae.
GAUCUAGGUGCGCUAAAGCGUCUGCGGUGAAAUAAAGUAUACGUAGAAGGACUGAAACCGUAAUCCGGCCAACCGAGCCAGUCUCUUGACCUGACAUUUAAUGCUCUUACACAAGUUGCAACUACCCGUUGCUCUUUGUCCGCCAAGAUGGUGCUAUUCAUCGAAACGAUAGGAGUAGGCCAAAGGGAGAGACGGGCCAAUGAUUUUAUCGUGUCGCGUUCGAAUGUGCUCGACGCACCGCAAUUUGCUAUUUUCCACGGUAUAUGUACCAUAUCGGUUGCGAAAUCGAUGUUGGUAUUGUCUUGUCAGCGGAGAUUUGUUGGAGCAGACUUUUGCGAAUACGACUAGCGAUCGUUAUUAUCGUUAUUAGCAUAGUGUUGAAUCGGAUAUGAGAAUUCAUCGAAUACGCGUGCGAUAAACACCCUAUAUAAUCAGACACGUGCGAGUUGCACCGUGAAAUUGAGAUUUCCACGGUUCUAGAGGCACGGCAAGCAGAUAUGGGAAACCUCGCUGGUUACAACGAUGGAUUGUUCGUACUAGCGAGUCGUGUUCGUCAGGGAUUCCAAUUCUGAAAUUGAUUAAAUCAUUUGACUUGCGGUGGUACGCGUUCGCUGCUUACCACCAAGUACAAAUCCGAAACACUUGCUAACUUUGAUAGAUUCGAAAUCGAGUUUGACCGGAAGAGAACGCGUGCGACGAUGCCUUGUAGACGUACGUUGUAUACGUUGUACAAGGUUUAAUCGGAGUUAAGUGAAACGAAUUACUAUGUAGUAAACAAAUUAAGUAUAGUAGUGCCGAUGUCACGGCACUGGCUGAUGAAGGAAAUCGAAUAACACGAGAAUGAAAAGAGACAAUUUAAACCUGUGUUUCUUCGCGAUACAGAAGAAAAACAUGAGAAUUAAUGGUACGAUGAUUCAGAGUGUGUCCACUAUCUUUAACUGCCGCUCGACAGCGAGACCGUUCUCAAAAUAUUUAAUUAUACGACCAGUAGAGAUAAGUAGUCUAAGCGACUGGUUAACGCGUCUUGCACGGUUUAACGGAUCAACGGGUUUCGUUCGAUGCGACGACUUUCGACUAUCGUGGCGAAUCAACGAUCAGAAGAGAACCGAGUAAGUUACAGGAUCAGAAAUGAAACAUUAUGAUGACGGGCCUCUUGUGUUGCGUGGGUCAUUGAGAGUGUCACGCGUGACGUGGGAGCGUGUGUACGCAGAGGUAUGUCAGAGAAAAUACGGCGGAAACACGCACCAGCCGGAGGCACCAGCGAGGGAAAAGAACGAAAGAGAAGGGACAUCGUCGAGGAGAAAAGAAGACCACAUACAAGCCAGACGGCAAUUUUUCUAAUUUGUUGUUAUCCCCAGACAAGUUGAAUCGUGGCAUGGAAGAGUCUGCUACUAGAAACCCACUCAGAAUAUGCUACAUUUAUAUCGUAUUAGAAGAGGAAAAUAUUAUUUUAUUAUAUGAUUUUGAUACUUGAAUUUAUAUGCUGUUUGGUAUUAAAAGAGUCGUUAUUAUUGUAUUAAACAACGAUCAAGAGAUAUUAACUAAAAAAUGGAACAAAGACAAGGUACUCGAUAAAGCAAACGAUUCGUGGAAUGUAUAUACUUUUUUCAAAUUUACAAAAUACUUUGUUCGUUUAUCGCUAGUUUUCUGAGUUAUCUUUUCAUUUACUACGAGGGAAAUGUGCAAUGGUAGUUAUGUUCGUUAUAGAAUAAUUUUAUGGCUAGGAUAUAAUGGAGAAAUUGAACAAAAGGAUCGCGAAGGACGACGAAGAAUGCAUUCCAUACAUUGCUUCGAAAUGACGCGUCCCUACUUCUUUUAUAACCACAGGAUUUUCUCAAACAUAUCGACUUAAUGAACCUUUAAUCGGUCAUUGCGCCUAUGCUAAGGAGUAUUUCUAGAAAUAACGUAAAUGCUUGAUGUUGCUUGAAAAUUAUAGUCUUUAAAAGAUAGGAAAUACGUUGCAUUGUGCUUGGCCGAAUAAAAAUUAUAAAUUUCCGAUAAAUGAGUAAACAUCCGCGCUACGACAAAUGCAGUUCCUCGAAAACUACGAAUUAUAGGAAUCCAAUAUUCCAACUGCCAACUGCAUUUUUCAUGCACUUCCUACAAAUACCAUUUUGCUGUUAGAUCCAUACACUGGAAUAUAUGCACACACGUACCGAAGGAUCGUAGAGGACCAAGCAGGAGAAAGAAGUAAACGUUGCUGGCGAGUCGAAAUCUUGUAUUCGCUGCACUAAGCCGAAGAUAUUUAUCAGCAGAGAUUAAAACGGGACUUUCCGUGUGUAACUGCAUAAAUUUAACUUUCUUGCUACGUAUACGCACCAACACAUAUCCAGAUACCGUAACUUUUCGGUCCGGUCGACGAAUACCACGAGCAACAUCCGAGACAAGAAUUAAUAUGACAAUCUCUACGACUUAAAUCUCGAAUCGUCCUCGAAUGAACAAUAUUCGAGUAUACUGCAAACAAUACAAAAUACUAUACUAUACUAUUUAUAACACAAAACAUAUUAAAUCAUAUUACUGUGUUA